UUUCCGUAGGUGAACCUGCGGAAGGAUCAUUAAAAAAUGUGGUACCAAUUAUUGGUACUAAUUAAUCAUCCUACCCUUUGUGAAUUUGUUUGUAUGAAUUUUUUUAAAUGGGUCUUUCCCUAAGUUGGAUUGUAGUAAAAUACAAAAAGACUUAGGGAAUGACUUUUUUAAAAGACUUUUUUUUAAUUAAAACUUUUUGUAUUCAUUUGUCUAAAAUUUAUUUUUAUAAUAUAAAAACAACUUUUGACAAUGGAUCUCUUGGUUCUCGCAACGAUGAAGAACGCAGCAAAAUGCGAUAAGUAGUGUGAAUUGCAGAAUACGUGAAUCAUCGAAUCUUCGAACGCAUAUUGCACUUUUUUAGUUUACUAAAAAGUAUGUCUGUUUGAGUAUCAGUAAAGUAUUCUCACAAACAUAUAUUGUUUGUGGUAUGAGUGUUUUACAACGAUAAACAAGUUGUUUCACUUUAAAUUCUUUUAUGAAUUUUCUACCAAUUAUAAAUUAAAAUUGGAUAAAAUUUUCCUUUAACGAGGAAUAACCUAAACAAUUUUAAAUUUUAUGGUUUGUAAAAUCAUAAAGGAAUCUAUACAUAAAUAACUUGAUCUCAAAUCAGAUAAGAGUACCGCUGAACUUAAGCAUAUCAAUAAGCGGAGGAAAAGAAACUAACAAGGAUUCCCUUAGUAACGGCGAGUGAAGCGGGAAGAGCUCAAAUUUGAAAUCUUCAAGGUUUGACCUUGACGAAUUGUAGUUUAUAGAAGUGUUUUCUGUUGGAGUUUUGGUAAAAGUUCUUUGGAAUAGGACAUCAUAGAGGUGAGAAUCCCGUAUUUGACCAUGACUUUCCAGCUGUGUGAUACACUUUCAAAGAGUCGGAUUGUUUGGGAAUGCAGUCCAAAAUGGGUGGUAAAUUUCAUCUAAAGCUAAAUAUUGGCGAGAGACCGAUAGCGAACAAGUACCGUGAGGAAAGAUGAAAAGAACUUUGAAAAGAGAGUUAAACAGUACGUGAAAUUGUCAAAAGGGAAGCGUUUGACACCAGUGUUGUUUUCUCGAAAAUCAAUUUAAUGAGUUCUUGUUUUUAAGUUAUUGUGACUUUAUCAGCGCAUUUCUUAUUUUACUUGACUCAUUGAAUGCACUUUUCGUUUAACAAGUCAACAUCAAUUUCUUUGGUGGUAAAAAGUUUAAAGGAAGGUGGCUUGGACUUCGGUUCAAGUGUUUAUAGCCUUUUUUCUAUGCCAUCGGGAGAUUGAGGUCUGCAGCGUAGAUCCUUCGGGUUAGAUACCUUUGUGCUAAGUUAUAGUUUUUAUAGACAACUUGUUGACUAUAAUUAACCCUGUAAUUUACUCGCUUAGGCUAUUUUACCUACGCUUAGGAUGUUGAG
Molecule: unclassified non-coding RNA, 1372 nt
Filed under: uncultured Neocallimastigales
Lineage: Eukaryota; Fungi; Neocallimastigomycota; Neocallimastigomycetes; Neocallimastigales
Description: partial contains small subunit ribosomal RNA, internal transcribed spacer 1, 5.8S ribosomal RNA, internal transcribed spacer 2, and large subunit ribosomal RNA
Rfam family: Eukaryotic large subunit ribosomal RNA (bases 597-1372)
Source: RNAcentral